GGAGGCGUAUCGAAGAGGUCAUAACGAGAACGACUCGAAAUCGUUUUGGCGUGAUGAGCGCCACGUGGGUUCGAAUCCCACCGCCUCCGCCA
RNAcentral lists this transfer RNA (92 nucleotides) under Ruminococcaceae bacterium OttesenSCG-928-I18. Its description in RNAcentral is "tRNA-Ser". It matches the Rfam family "tRNA". Rfam says of the family: Transfer RNA (tRNA) molecules are approximately 80 nucleotides in length. Their secondary structure includes four short double-helical elements and three loops (D, anti-codon, and T loops). RNAcentral also lists the same sequence under 7 other names. Lineage: Bacteria; Bacillati; Bacillota; Clostridia; Eubacteriales; Oscillospiraceae. The record is from RNAcentral.